CCUACGGGGUGCAGCAGUGGGGAAUAUUGCGCAAUGGGCGAAAGCCUGACGCAGCGACGCCGCGUGAGGGAUGAAGGUCUUCGGAUCGUAAACCUCUGUCAGCAGGGAAGAACGGUCACUGUGCUAAUCAGCAGUGAAUUGACGGUACCUGCAAAGGAAGCACCGGCUAACUCCGUGCCAGCAGCCGCGGUAAUACGGAGGGGGCGAGCGUUAAUCGGAAUUACUGGGCGUAAAGCGCUCGUAGGCGGUAUGUCAAGUCAAGGGUGAAAUCCCCGCGCUCAACGUGGGAACUGCCUUUGAAACUGGGAAACUGGAGUGUGUGAGGGGAUAGUGGAAUUCCAGGGGUAGGAGUGAAAUGCGUAGAUAUCUGGAGGAACAUCAGUGGCGAAGGCGACUAUCUGGCACAUAACUGACGCUGAGGAGCGAAAGCGUGGGUAGCAAACAGGAUUAGAUACCCUAGUAGUC
RNAcentral lists this ribosomal RNA (465 nucleotides) under uncultured bacterium. RNAcentral describes it as "partial 16S ribosomal RNA". It matches the Rfam family "Bacterial small subunit ribosomal RNA", at positions 338 to 795 of the family's 1533-position model. The record is from RNAcentral.